RNAcentral lists this long non-coding RNA (344 nucleotides) under Lathyrus oleraceus (garden pea). RNAcentral describes it as "Pisum sativum (pea) long non-coding RNA (PSAT_LNC033522)". The record is from RNAcentral. Lineage: Eukaryota; Viridiplantae; Streptophyta; Magnoliopsida; Fabales; Fabaceae.
UUUUGACUGAAAAACAUCCAUUUAUUAAUGAUGCAGAAAUGCAAAUUUAAACAUGAGGUGGCCCUUACAAUGGACCAUUACGUGUCGGGCAACACAGAACACCGCUUUUUGACUGAAAAACAUCCAUUUAUUAAUGAUGCAGAAAUGCAAAUUUAAACAUGAGGUGGCCCUUACAAUGGACCAUUACGUGUCGGGCAACACGUAUGGCUUUCAUGCAAAUAAGCUGAAAACAAGAAAUAAUACUCUUCCAGACGAGUAACAGUGUUGAUCUUUUAGGCCUUCCAGCUCCCUGGCACGCACGAUUUUAUCCACUGAUCAAUUCCCCAGUCACUGUUAGUUUCUUU